GUUUCCCUGAGAGGCCUUGCAGGCGCGGCUGCUGUGUCACAUGUGUAUCAGUAGGUGGCAGAGAAGAGAGAGGCUAUGUCUAAGCUCAAUGUUCUGACCUGUGAACAUCUGAAUAGUUAGUAGCCUAACGCU
Molecule: small nucleolar RNA, 132 nt
Organism: Mastomys coucha (southern multimammate mouse)
Lineage: Eukaryota; Metazoa; Chordata; Mammalia; Rodentia; Muridae
Product: small nucleolar RNA SNORA17
Exons: 1
Source: RefSeq, a predicted model, not a curated record